UAAAGGGUAACACCGGCUACGGAUGGCCAUGCGGCGCAUUAGCUAGUUGGCGGGGUAACGGCCCACCAAGGCGACGAUGCGUAGGGGUUCUGAGAGGAAGGUCCCCCACACUGGUACUGAGACACGGACCAGACUCCUACGGGAGGCAGCAGUGAGGAAUAUUGGUCAAUGGGCGCGAGCCUGAACCAGCCAAGUCGCGUGAGGGAAGACGGUCCUAUGGAUUGUAAACCUCUUUUGUCGGGGAGCAAAAGGCGCCACGUGUGGCGUUCCGAGAGUACCCGAAGAAAAAGCAUCGGCUAACUCCGUGCCAGCAGCCGCGGUAAUACGGAGGAUGCGAGCGUUAUCCGGAUUUAUUGGGUUUAAAGGGUGCGCAGGCGGAAGAUCAAGUCAGCGGUAAAAUUGAGAGGCUCAACCUCUUCGAGCCGUUGAAACUGGUUUUCUUGAGUGAGCGAGAAGUAUGCGGAAUGCGUGGUGUAGCGGUGAAAUGCAUAGAUAUCACGCAGAACUCCGAUUGCGAAGGCAGCAUACCGGCGCUCAACUGACGCUCAUGCACGAAAGUGUGGGUAUCGAACAGGAUUAGAUACCCUGGUAGUCCACACAGUAAACGAUGAAUACUAAUUGUUCGGGGAGAAUGAUCCCUGA
Molecule: ribosomal RNA, 642 nt
Filed under: uncultured bacterium
Lineage: Bacteria
Description: bacterial SSU rRNA
Rfam family: Bacterial small subunit ribosomal RNA
Source: RNAcentral